AGAGUUUGAUCCUGGCUCAGGAUGAACGCUGACAGAAUGCUUAACACAUGCAAGUCUACUUGAACUUCGGUUUGGGUGGCGGACGGGUGAGUAACGCGUAAAGAACUUGCCUCACAGUUAGGGACAACAUUUGGAAACGAAUGCUAAUACCUGAUAUUAUGAUUUUAGGGCAUCCUAAGAUUAUGAAAGCUAUAUGCGCUGUGAGAGAGCUUUGCGUCCCAUUAGCUAGUUGGAGAGGUAACGGCUCACCAAGGCGAUGAUGGGUAGCCGGCCUGAGAGGGUGAACGGCCACAAGGGGACUGAGACACGGCCCUUACUCCUACGGGAGGCAGCAGUGGGGAAUAUUGGACAAUGGACCAAAAGUCUGAUCCAGCAAUUCUGUGUGCACGAUGACGUUUUUCGGAAUGUAAAGUGCUUUCAGUUGGGAAGAAAAAAAUGACGGUACCAACAGAAGAAGUGACGGCUAAAUACGUG
This 474-nucleotide ribosomal RNA is filed under the name uncultured Fusobacterium sp. RNAcentral describes it as "bacterial SSU rRNA". It matches the Rfam family "Bacterial small subunit ribosomal RNA", at positions 8 to 507 of the family's 1533-position model. Lineage: Bacteria; Fusobacteriati; Fusobacteriota; Fusobacteriia; Fusobacteriales; Fusobacteriaceae. The record is from RNAcentral.